RNAcentral lists this unclassified non-coding RNA (406 nucleotides) under Bahiopsis parishii. RNAcentral describes it as "partial external transcribed spacer". Lineage: Eukaryota; Viridiplantae; Streptophyta; Magnoliopsida; Asterales; Asteraceae. The record is from RNAcentral.
UUUGGUUUGUUACGGGUGGUUGGCUCUUUGCUUGCGCAACAACUGYCACCCGACUUACCUUUUCAGAYGUUUGCCUAGGCUUAUAUAGCCUAUGCAGAUUGUGGGUUUCCUGUGUUGCCUACCUACGUUAUGGAAUUGUCCUGAUCGAUAAUAGUUGCUUUCGUCUUGUGUCAUCCACAUGGCAUCAGAUGAACCUCGAAGCUUUCUCUUUGCACCACAUCAUUAAUGCAUGCGUUGAUGUUGUGGCCCAUUGAGCAUUGCUUGGUACCUUGGAUACGGAACCUGAUGUGGGCAUGGGUCCUAAGGGAUCCUUGUUCUGCCCUCUUUAGYGUUYGCGCUUCUCUUAAAAUGACUGCCCAGCCYGUUUGGCAAGUCCUCUCGGAUGGGUAUCGUCAAAGAGGAAUGC